Molecule: long non-coding RNA, 1698 nt
Organism: Oncorhynchus tshawytscha (Chinook salmon)
Lineage: Eukaryota; Metazoa; Chordata; Actinopteri; Salmoniformes; Salmonidae
Exons: 2
Source: RefSeq, a predicted model, not a curated record
GGGGCCCUUUCUACCUAGUACCCUCCCCUGGACUGGUAUUACAGCCGAGACAGACAGGGGCCCUUUCUACCUAGUACCCUCCCUGGACUGGUAUUACAGCUGAGACAGACAGGGGACCCUUUCUACCUAGUACCCUCCCCUGGACUGGUAUUACAGCUGAGACAGACAGGGGGCCCUUUCUACCUAGUACCCUCCCCUGGACUGGUAUUACAGCUGAGACAGACAGGGGACCCUUUCUACCUAGUACCCUCCCUGGACUGGUAUUACAGCCGAGACAGACAGGGGACCCUUUCUACCUAGUACCCUCCCUGGACUGGUAUUACAGCUGAGACAGACAGGGGCCCUUUCUACCUAGUACCCUCCCCUGGACUGGUAUUACAGCCGAGACAGACAGGGGGCCCUUUCUACCUAGUACCCUCCCUGGACUGGUAUUACAGCCGAGACAGACAGGGGACCCUUUCUACCUAGUACCCUCCCCUGGACUGGUAUUACAGCUGAGACAGACAGGGGCCCUUUCUACCUAGUACCCUCCCCUGGACUGGUAUUACAGCGAGACAGACAGGGGCCCUUUCUACCUAGUGCCCUCCCUGGACUGGUAUUACAGCUGAGACAGGGGCCCUUUCUACCUAGUACCCUCCCCUGGACUGGUAUUACAGCCGAGACAGACAGGGGCCCUUUCUACCUAGUACCCUCCCCUGGACUGGUAUUACAGCUGAGACAGACAGGGGGCCCUUUCUACCUAGUACCCUCCCCUGGACUGGUAUUACAGCCGAGACAGACAGGGGACCCUUUCUACUCAGGCACAGGGAGGGGCAGCUCAGAACCUUUGUGGUCCUGAGUGAUUCUCUGCCACAACAACUAACAUGGAUUUAAAAAAGGAAAGUGUAACAAUGGUCCUUCUGUGUUAGUGGCUGAAAAUGUCAGGUCUUCCUCUUCUGAUGCUAUGAUGCCCAGUUCUGUCUGUGUGUAGUCUGGUGCUGGGAGGUUACUAGGCUUCACAGACAACAGUCUGGUGCUGUGAGGUUACUAGGCUUCACAGACAACAGUCUGGUGCUGUGAGGUUACUAGGCUUCACAGACAACAGUCUGGUGCUGGGAGGUUACUAGGCUUCACAGACAACAGUCUGGUGCUGGGAGGUUACUAGGCUUCACAGACAACAGUCUGGUGCUCUGAGGUUACUAGGCUUCACAGACAACAGUCUGGUGCUGUGAGGUUACUAGGCUUCACAGACAACAGUCUGGUGCUCUGAGGUUACUAGGCUUCACAGACAACAGUCUGGUGCAGGGAGGUUACUAGGCUUCACAGACAACAGUCUGGUGCUGGGAGGUUACUAGGCUUCACAGACAACAGUCUGGUGCUGGGAGGUUACUAGGCUUCACAGACAACAGUCAGACUUCCUGUCUGUAAGCGUCCCCAUGUUCAGAAUUAUAUUUGUAUUAUUCUCACUAGUCUUUAUUUACACAUUUAAUAUUUCUUGGGAGCUGCUUGUGUCUGGAUGGUGUGCUAACCUGUUUGACAUUAUAAUAAUGUAAUAUAAUUUAUAUCGUUUGUAUUAUUCUAACAUAAUAUUGUGGGUCUUUUUUAUUCUGUAAUUUCUUCCUGGGGGUUUUAUAGGAUCGGGGGGGGGGUGUAUAUUAACACCAGUCUAAACCAGCUUCACCUGGAGCUGCUAUGGGACAAUAAAAUGGAUCACUUUCA